Podarcis raffonei (Aeolian wall lizard) is the source of this 211-nucleotide long non-coding RNA. RefSeq lists it as uncharacterized. The transcript is spliced from 3 exons. NCBI's taxonomy places the organism in Eukaryota, Metazoa, Chordata, Lepidosauria, Squamata, Lacertidae. The record is from RefSeq and is a predicted model, not a curated record.
CACCGUGCUCUCUGAUUGGUAGGAAAGUCUUUAAUUGCUGAAGGUGUGGUGAUAUAAGUGAAGGACGCUUAUUGUAUGAUCCCCUAGGAAAGACUCCGCCAGGACUGCAGGCGUCACUUUGGUCGAGACUUUCUCUUCUGACAUGUGGAACCCCAAUUCAGGAACGCCUGGUGGGAUGCCGCCGCAGCAGCCUUACCCUCCUGCUCCUGGA